This 285-nucleotide long non-coding RNA is filed under the name Ricinus communis (castor bean). RNAcentral describes it as "long non-coding RNA (RCOM_LNC001993)". The record is from RNAcentral. Lineage: Eukaryota; Viridiplantae; Streptophyta; Magnoliopsida; Malpighiales; Euphorbiaceae.
GCAAAUUAUUAGGUUUUAGAUUAAGAGAUCGAACAAGUGUUAAAUUACACUAAAAGGAAAGGGAAAUGAUCAAAAUUUUGCUUUGACAUUUCAGAAUUGACCAGGUCACAUAAAAAAAAAAGAAGAAGAAAGAUUUAGAAGAAAAGAGGAUUGGCAAGGUAUUAAUGACGAACCAAAAGAAAUUGUCUCGACAGAAUCAAAGUGAAAAAUAACGAAAUGGAAAAGGAAACUGUGGCCGCAAAGUAAUCCAUCUUUUUCCUGUAUGGCUUCUACGAAUGAGACAGN